Molecule: long non-coding RNA, 1075 nt
Filed under: Anser cygnoides (Swan goose)
Lineage: Eukaryota; Metazoa; Chordata; Aves; Anseriformes; Anatidae
Description: lncRNA (ENSACDG00005017411.1)
Source: RNAcentral
GCACCACCUGAGCCGUGAAUGUGGGGGGGGGGGACGUGGGGACAGAGGGGACAUUUUGGGGGUCCCCCCCCCCCCAGGUGUCCCUGGUCCCCUGUGGGUCCCCUCACGGUGUCACCGGUCCCCAAGGGGGUCCCCAACUGGUGUCACCAGUCCCCAGGGGGUCCCCUACUGGUGUCACCGGUCCCCAGGGGUUCCCCAGGGGGCCCCCAACUGGUGUCACUGGUCCCCAGGGGUUCCCCAGGGGGUCCCCUCACGGUGUCACCAGUCCCGAGUGUGUCCCCAGUGGGUCCCCAACCGGUGUCACCAGUCCCCAGGGUGUCCCCUACUGGUGUCACCAAUCCCCAGGGGGUCCCCUACUGGGGUCACUGGUCCCCAGGGGGUCCCCUACUGGUGUCACCAGUCCCCAGGGGGUCCCCACUGGGUCCCCUACUGGUGUCACCAGUCCCCAGGGGGCCCCCAACUGGUGUCACCAGUCCCCAGGGGGUCCCCAGUAGGUCCCCAACUGGUGUCACCGGUCCCCAGGGGGCCCCCUACUGGGGUCACCAGUCCCCAGGGGGUCCCCUCACAGUGUCACCAGUCCCCAGGGGGUCCCCAGUGGGUCCCCAACUGGUGUCACCAGUCCCCAUAGUGUCCCCAGGGGGUCCCCAGUGGGUCCCCUACUGGGGUCACCAGUCCCCAGGGGGUACCCUCGCGGUGUCACCAGUCCCGAGUGUGUCCCCAGUGGGUCCCCAACCGGUGUCACCAGUCCCCAGGGGGUCCCCAGGGGGUCCCCAACUGGUGUCACCGGUCCCCAGGGGGUCCCCUACUGGGGUCACCAGUCCCCAGGGGGUCCCCUCACAGUGUCACCAGUCCCCAGGGGGUCCCCACUGGGUCCCCUACUGGGGUCACCAGUCCCCAGGGGGUCCCCUCGCGGUGUCACCAGUCCCCAGGGGGUCCCCUACUGGUGUCACCAGUCCCCAGGGGGUCCCCAGUGGGUCCCCAACCGGUGUCACCAGUCCCCAGGGGGUCCCCUCAGGUCCCCAGGGGGUCCCCCCGCAGUGCCACCAGCCCCCAGAGGGUCCCCUCCAUGGUGCCA